GUCCAUAUCACGUUGAAACACUGUUUCUCGUACGAUCACUGCAGUUAAGCAACGUCGAGCCUGGUCAGUACUUAGCUGGGUGAUAGCUUGGGAAUGC
This is a non-coding RNA of Acanthosepion pharaonis, 97 nucleotides long. The record is from the annotation of a GenBank genome assembly. NCBI's taxonomy places the organism in Eukaryota, Metazoa, Mollusca, Cephalopoda, Sepiida, Sepiidae.